ACAGGUUGCAGCCUGUAUAAAUAGGUUAUUAAGCUGCAAGCGUUUGCACCUGUAAUAAGGUGCAAGGUUAAC
This 72-nucleotide ribozyme is filed under the name unclassified sequences. RNAcentral describes it as "pistol ribozyme". It matches the Rfam family "Pistol ribozyme". The record is from RNAcentral.